UACAGAGGUCUCGAGCGUUAGGCGGAAUCACUGGGCUUAAAGCGUGUGUAGGCGGAUCGUUAAGUACCUUGUGAAAUCCCACGGCUUAACCGUGGAAUUGCUGGGUAUACUGGCGGUCUUGAGCCACUUAGGGGCUACCGGAACAAAUGGUGGAGCGGUGAAAUGCGUAGAUAUCAUUUGGAACGCCAAUGGUGAAAACAGGUAGCUGGGAGUGUGCUGACGCUGAGACACGAAAGCCAGGGGAGCAAACGGG
RNAcentral lists this ribosomal RNA (253 nucleotides) under uncultured bacterium. Its description in RNAcentral is "partial 16S ribosomal RNA". It matches the Rfam family "Bacterial small subunit ribosomal RNA", at positions 524 to 776 of the family's 1533-position model. The record is from RNAcentral.